UACGUAGGGUGCAAGCGUUGUCCGGAAUUAUUGGGCGUAAAGAGCUCGUAGGCGGUUUGUCGCGUCUGCUGUGAAAACCCGAGGCUCAACCUCGGGCCUGCAGUGGGUACGGGCAGACUAGAGUGCGGUAGGGGAGAUUGGAAUUCCUGGUGUAGCGGUGGAAUGCGCAGAUAUCAGGGAGGAACACCAAUGGCGAAGGCAGAUCUCUGGGCCGUAACUGACGCUGAGGAGCGAAAGCAUGGGAGCGAACAG
This 252-nucleotide ribosomal RNA is filed under the name uncultured bacterium. RNAcentral describes it as "partial 16S ribosomal RNA". It matches the Rfam family "Bacterial small subunit ribosomal RNA", at positions 524 to 775 of the family's 1533-position model. The record is from RNAcentral.